Molecule: non-coding RNA, 94 nt
Organism: Terfezia boudieri ATCC MYA-4762
Lineage: Eukaryota; Fungi; Ascomycota; Pezizomycetes; Pezizales; Pezizaceae
Source: the annotation of a GenBank genome assembly
GGCGCAGUGGUCUAAUGGUAUGAUUCUCACUAUGUAGGUACCUGCUAUUCUAGGCGGAGGGUGAGUGAUCUGGGUUCAACUCCCAGCUGCGCCG